GACGAACGCUGGCGGCGUGCCUAAUACAUGCAAGUAGAACGCUGAAGGAGGAGCUUGCUUCUCUUGAUGAGUUGCGAACGGGUGAGUAACGCGUAGGUAACCUGCCUGGUAGCGGGGGAUAACUAUUGGAAACGAUAGCUAAUACCGCAUAAUAUUAGAUGUUGCAUUACAUUUGCUUAAAAGUUGCAAUUGCAUCACUACCAUGUGGACCUGCGGUGUAUUAGCUAGUUGGUGAGGUAACGGCUCACCAAGGCAACGAUACAUAGCCGACCUGAGAGGGUGAUCGGCCAAACUGGGACUGGGACAAGGCCCAGACUUCUACGGGAGGCAGCCGUAGGGGAUCUUCGGAAAUGGACGGAAGUCUGAACGAGCAACGCCGCGUGAGUGAAGAAGGUUUUCGGAUCGUAAAGCUCUGUUGUAAGAGAAGAAAGAGUGUGAGAGUGGAAAGUUCACACUGUGACGGUAUCUUACCAGAAAGGGACGGCUAACUACGUG
RNAcentral lists this ribosomal RNA (495 nucleotides) under uncultured bacterium. RNAcentral's name for it is "partial 16S ribosomal RNA". It matches the Rfam family "Bacterial small subunit ribosomal RNA", at positions 28 to 507 of the family's 1533-position model. The record is from RNAcentral.